This is a non-coding RNA of Capsicum annuum, 1223 nucleotides long. NCBI's taxonomy places the organism in Eukaryota, Viridiplantae, Streptophyta, Magnoliopsida, Solanales, Solanaceae. The record is from Rfam.
UACUUAUUUAAUCCUUCCAGUAGUCAUAUGCUUAUCUCAAAGAUUAAGCCAUGCAUGUGUAAGUAUGAAUAAAUUCAGACUGUGAAACUGCGAAUGGCUAGUUGAAUCAGUAGUAGUUUGUUUGAUGGUAUUUAUUACUCGGAUAGCCAUAGUAAUUCAAGAGUUUAUACAUGCAACAAACCCCAACUUCUAGAAGGGAUGCACUUAUUAGAUAAAUGGUCAACGCGGGCUCUGCCCGUUGCUGUGAUAAUUCGUGAUAACUCGUCGGAUCACACAACCAUCAUACCAGCGAUGCAUCAUUCAAAAUUUUGUCCUAUCAACAUUCAAUGGUAGGGUAGUGGCCUACCAUGACAGUGAUGGGUGAUGGGGAAUUAGGGUUCAAUUUCAAAGAGGGAGCCUAAGAAAUGGUUACCACAUAUAAGAAAGGCAGCAGGUGCGCAAAUUACCCAAUCCUGACAUGAGAAGGUAGUGACAACAAAUAACAAUACCGGGCUCCAUAAGUUUGGUAAUUGGAAUGAGUACAAUCUAAAUCCCUUAACGAGGAUCCAUUGAAGGGAAAUUCUGGAGUCAUCAACCCCAGUAAUUCCAGCUCUAAUAGCAUAUAUUUAAGUUGUUGCAGUUAAAAAGAUCCUAGUUGGACUUUGGGAUGGGCUACCCGAUCUAUCAAUGGUGUGCACCAAUCGGCUCAUUCCUUCUUUCAGCGAUGUGCUCCUGCCCUUAACAGGCCAAUUUGUGCCUUCGGCGCUGUUACUUUGAAGAAAUUAGAGUGCUCAAAGCAAGCCUAUGCUCUGUAUACAUUAGAUAGAAUAACAUUAUAGGAUUUUGGUUCUAUUACGUUGUCCUUAAUAGGUCUGUGUUGCCCUUUGAUGUUUUGGGCCUCACGUACACUACACUAAUAUUUUUAAUGAUUUUCUAGCCUUUGCCAAUAGUCUCGGGUAAUCUUUGAAAUUUCAUAGUGAUGAGGAUAGAUCAUUGCAAUUGUUGGUCUUUAACGAGGAAUUCCUAGUAAUCGCAAGUCAUCAACUUUUGUUGACUAUGUCCCUGCCAUUUGUAUACACCAUUUGUCGCUCCUACCAAUUGAAUGAUCUGGUGAAAUAUUCGAAUCGCGGCGACGUAGGCGGUUCGCUUCCUGCGAUGCCGCAAGAAGUCCAUUGAACCUUAUCAUUUAGAGGAAGGAGAAGUCAUAACAAAGUUUUCGUAGGUUAACCUACGGAGGAUUAUUA